Bubalus bubalis (water buffalo) is the source of this 497-nucleotide long non-coding RNA. RefSeq lists it as uncharacterized. The transcript is spliced from 3 exons. NCBI's taxonomy places the organism in Eukaryota, Metazoa, Chordata, Mammalia, Artiodactyla, Bovidae. The record is from RefSeq and is a predicted model, not a curated record.
CUCUGAUCUUCACAUUAAAUUUUUACCAUAGCAGGAGAUUAUUCAAAGAAUAAAGGCCAGACCAUCUUUGAUUCCUCAGAGGACAGAUACAAGAUGAACAGGUGAAUUCUUUACCUGAGCCACAAGGCAAGCCCUGAAGAGCCUAAUGGAUGAAGCAGUAUUUGAGCUGAACUUUGGAGAAACAGAGUUUGAAUGGAUGGAAAGCAAAGAAGAACACUCUUCAGGAAAUAGCCUUGGACGUAUAGUUGAGUGUGGUGCUGGAAAAGCAGGACUGAGCAGAUGCCAGGAUCAAGAGGAGUAAUGAUCUAUAUUCUGCAUGAAGCGGGGGCUCGGGUAUGACCACAUGGGAGGCUUCCAUAGACCAACGAGAAAAACUAUCAAGAACACAUUUUUACUACACUGAAAGAAAAUGGAGCAAGAAGGGUUAUUUUUUUUUCCGUAAAAUAUAUUGUUCUUCCAGGCUGCAGUGAAAUAGUUUCUAUUUAAUUGCACAGAAA